UACGUAGGGUGCAAGCGUUAAUCGGAAUUACUGGGCGUAAAGCGUGCGCAGGCGGUUCUAUAAGACAGAUGUGAAAUCCCCGGGCUCAACCUGGGAACUGCAUUUGUGACUGUAGAGCUGGAGUACGGCAGAGGGGGAUGGAAUUCCGCGUGUAGCAGUGAAAUGCGUAGAUAUGCGGAGGAACACCGAUGGCGAAGGCAAUCCCCUGGGCCUGUACUGACGCUCAUGCACGAAAGCGUGGGGAGCAAACAGG
Molecule: ribosomal RNA, 253 nt
Filed under: uncultured bacterium
Lineage: Bacteria
Description: partial 16S ribosomal RNA
Rfam family: Bacterial small subunit ribosomal RNA
Source: RNAcentral